RNAcentral lists this non-coding RNA (204 nucleotides) under Triticum aestivum (bread wheat). RNAcentral describes it as "Eukaryotic small subunit ribosomal RNA". It matches the Rfam family "Eukaryotic small subunit ribosomal RNA", at positions 764 to 974 of the family's 1831-position model. The record is from Rfam by way of RNAcentral. Lineage: Eukaryota; Viridiplantae; Streptophyta; Magnoliopsida; Poales; Poaceae. RNAcentral also lists the same sequence under 1 other name.
ACUCGACGCUUUCAAAGCAAGGCAUUGCUUUGGAAUACAUUAAGAUGGAUAGCAUCAUAGGAUUUUUUUUUGCGAUACCUUAGGGAUCAGAGUGAUGAUUAAUAAGGAUAGUUUGGGGUAUAUGUAUUUUAUGUCAGAGGUGAUUUUUUUUAGAUUUAUGAAAGACGAACAACUGCAAAAGCAUUUGUCGAUAAUACUCCCUCU